This 510-nucleotide ribosomal RNA is filed under the name uncultured bacterium. RNAcentral's name for it is "partial 16S ribosomal RNA". It matches the Rfam family "Bacterial small subunit ribosomal RNA", at positions 28 to 507 of the family's 1533-position model. The record is from RNAcentral.
GACGAACGCUGGCGGCGUGCUUAACACAUGCAAGUCGAACGAAGAGCGAUGGAAGCUUGCUUCUAUCAAUCUUAGUGGCGAACGGGUGAGUAACGCGUAAUCAACCUGCCCUUCAGAGGGGGACAACAGUUGGAAACGACUGCUAAUACCGCAUACGAUCUAAUCUCAGCAUCGAGGAUAGAUGAAAGGUGGCCUCUACAUGUAAGCUAUCACUGAAGGAGGGGAUUGCGUCUGAUUAGCUAGUUGGAGGGGUAACGGCCCACCAAGGCGAUGAUCAGUAGGCGGUCUGAGAGGAUGAACGGCCAAAUUGGGACUGAGACACGGCCCAGACUCCUACGGGAGGCAGCAGUGGGGAAUCUUCCGAAAUGGACGAAAGUCUGACGGAGCAACGCCGCGUGAGUGAUGACGGCCUUCGGGUUGUAAAGCUCUGUUAAUCGGGACGAAAGGCCUUCUUGCGAAUAGUGAGAAGGAUUGACGGUACCGGAAUAGAAAGCCACGGCUAACUACGUG